Molecule: long non-coding RNA, 2253 nt
Filed under: Rhagoletis pomonella (apple maggot)
Lineage: Eukaryota; Metazoa; Arthropoda; Insecta; Diptera; Tephritidae
Description: uncharacterized LOC118742248
Source: RNAcentral
CAUGUUGUAAUCCAUUGCGUAAAGAAAAACAUAACAGAGUUUAUCUCAAAAGUGACUGAAAAGCGGAACAGUGUUUUUUCAAAUUUAAUUGGGGAAUAUUUAUGCGAAACAUGCAAAAUAUAUGUAUAUCAAGAAGGGAAGCGAUGUUAUUCCAAUACCAAAACCAUCUCAAAUAUCUUUCGCUGCUCUUGAUCGGGAGUCUGGCGAGGAAAACAGUAACGACAGUGACUCCGAUUCAGAUUUUGAAGGAGAAUUCCUUACUUGUGACGAAGGAAAAAAUUUAAUUGCACCCGACUUUAAAAAAGAUGUUGCAACAACAGCAAACGUUAAAGUCGCUUUGUCAAAGGAAGGGGACACGAAAAAAAUCCAAUUAUUAACAACAGUGCCUAUAGAUUGGAAUGCUGCGAAAAUUCGUAAUUUAUUAGGCGUACCCGUUACAUGGCUGAAAUUGUACCUAAAUUGCGAAAAAAAAUCAGGAUAUGUUGCAUCUCCUGAUAAAAAAAUUGGACGAGUUUUAGCGAAUUCCGUUGUUGAAAAGGUUCAACUAUUUUAUGAAAUGGAUAAAAACAGGCGUUUUAUGCCCGGGAAGAAAGACUGUAUUUCAAUUUGAAUCAAUGGAAAUAAAAAUAGUGUUCAAGAAAGGCUGUUGCUCUGUAAUUUGAGAGAGCCUCAUAAAAAGUUUUUGUGGAAAUAUCCGGAUGUAAGGACAAGUCUCUAAAUUCACAAACCUUCGACCAGCUUCUUGCGUAGUUGUUGGGUGUAAAAGUAUGUGUUUGCAAAACGCAGCAAAACAUGAAAUUUAAAAUUCAUGGAUUAACAGGAUCGGGUCAAACAUAUUCGAUAAGUGACUUAACCAAACAAAUUAUCUGUCCCUAUCCAAAUGACCGUUGCAAUUUGUUAGCUUGUGAUCAAUGUCCCGGAGUUUCAUUGCUGUCCAAAAAUCUUUCCUCUUGUUUCAAGGCUAAGCGUAUUUCUGAAAUUCAUUUUAAGGAAUGGACUUGCACUGACAGUGAUUUGCAGGUGUGGACUGGUUGAUAAAGUCGAAAAAACUGACGUGUUCUUGAAAAAUUUUGAAAAGGAAUUACCGUUAUAUUUGAAGCAUGAUUCCAUAUCUAAGUCUCAGGCCCAGUAUUUGUUAUAUUUGAAAGAAAAUUUACAAGAUGCAGAGUUUCUAGUUACCCUAGACUUUGUCGAAAACUAUAGUUUUAAGAUACAGGAUGCAGUUCAAUCGUAUCAUUGGUCAAAUGAUCAGGCUACACUGCAUCCUUAUGUUAUAUACAUAUUACAAAAAUGAAAUUACCAUUGUAAACGAAUGUUUUGUCGUGAUAUCAGAAACGAAUAUUCAAAACACCGUCGCAGUUCACCUAUUCAACACGAAAAUUAUAAAUAAUUUAAAACUUAUUUUUGGGACCGAAAAUGUGAAGAGAAUCUUUUUUCUGACGGAUGUGCAGCUCAAUACAAAAACAAGUUCAAUUUUGCACUGUUGACACUGAAUGGCAUUUUUUUCAACCUCACACGGAAAAGGUGCCUGUGAUGGAGUUGGAGGCACCGUGAAAAGAUUGGCAUAUCGUGUAAGCUUACAAAGACUUCUUAGUAACCAAAUACCUACACCUUAUCAAUUGUUUCUGUGGGCAAACCAAUAUUUCGAUAAUAUUGAGUUCGAAUUUGCUUCUAAAAUCGAACACGAGAAACAAGAAAGAAAACUUCAAAAACGAGAAACAUGAAAGAAACUGCAAUAGCUAAGACAAUAAAAGGAAUGCGUCACUUUAAAUUUUCUAAGCCUAUUGAUUUUAAGAACAUUGAAUGUAGAGCAAGGCAUAUUAAACAAGGUAGAAGUGAUUUUGACAUUUCUCUCUUUUGAACACCGACUAUAAUGUCAAAUGAUGAAUAACUAUUAACCCUUUCCAAGUUGGAAUUUUCUACUUUUCAUUAAAAAUUCAAUUGUGUGCUUUGAGAUAGUUUUGAAUUGUGUACAUUUUUUUUUUUGGUUUUCGACCACAUGCAUUUAUAGAUACAUACAUAUACAAAAAUUAAAAGGAGCAGGAACUACGAGCGUUGCAUUGUGUGGAAAGUGGUGUGAUACUUUAAGGCGCCUAGUUGCGAAGUUAGAAGACUUGGUUGCCUGAUGCACACGGAAUUUCAGAACUGAGUAAGAGUAGUUUCUUACAAUAUUAAUUAUAAUCACGCCAGGACCUAGAUUUACACUUAUAUACAUACCAGGGUUGUUGCGAAUAUUCGCAUUCGCAUUCGCAA